This 498-nucleotide ribosomal RNA is filed under the name Cupriavidus sp. DASA 57020. RNAcentral describes it as "bacterial SSU rRNA". It matches the Rfam family "Bacterial small subunit ribosomal RNA", at positions 38 to 536 of the family's 1533-position model. The record is from RNAcentral. Lineage: Bacteria; Pseudomonadati; Pseudomonadota; Betaproteobacteria; Burkholderiales; Burkholderiaceae.
CCGGGCGGCGCUAUCUGCAUGUGAACGCUUCCGGGCUUCGGCCUGGUGGCAAGUGCCCAAGGGGUGAUUCAUACAUCUGAACGUGCCCCGCAGUGGGGGAUAACUAAUCCAAUGAGUACCUAUUACCGGAUACAAUCUGCGGGUUAGAGCUGGGGACCGCAAGGUCUCGCGCUUCAGGAGCGGCCGAUGUCCGAUUACCUAGUUGGUGGGGUAAGAGCCUACCAUGGCCACCAUCACUGGCUGGUCUGAAAGGACCAUCAGCCUCCCUGGGACUGAAACGCGGCCCAGAAUCCUACGGGAGGCAGCAGUGGGGAAUUUUGCACCAUGGGGGCCACCCGGAUUCAGGACUGCCACCUGUGUGAACAAAGCCUUCAGGGUGUAAAGCUCUUUUGUCCGCAAAGAAAAGGUCCGUGACAAUACCCCCGGUCAAUCACAGGGCCGGAACAAUAAGCACAGGCUCAGUACCUGCCACCAGCCUCGGCAAUACAUACGGUGCGA